Molecule: ribosomal RNA, 489 nt
Filed under: uncultured bacterium
Lineage: Bacteria
Description: partial 16S ribosomal RNA
Rfam family: Bacterial small subunit ribosomal RNA
Source: RNAcentral
AUGAACGCUAGCUACAGGCUUAACACAUGCAAGUCGCGGGGCAGCAUGGUCUUAGCUUGCUAAGGCCGAUGGCGACCGGCGCACGGGUGAGUAACACGUAUCCAACCUGCCGUCUACUCUUGGACAGCCUUCUGAAAGGAAGAUUAAUACAAGAUGGCAUCAUGAGUCCGCAUGUUCACAUGAUUAAAGGUAUUCCGGUAGACGAUGGGGAUGCGUUCCAUUAGAUAGUAGGCGGGGUAACGGCCCACCUAGUCUUCGAUGGAUAGGGGUUCUGAGAGGAAGGUCCCCCACAUUGGAACUGAGACACGGUCCAAACUCCUACGGGAGGCAGCAGUGGGGAAUAUUGGUCAAUGGGCGCAGGCCUGAACCAGCCAAGUAGCGUGAAGGAUGACUGCCAUAUGGGUUGUAAACUUCUUUUAUAAAGGAAUAAAGUCGGGUAUGUAUACCCGUUUGCAUGUAGUUUAUGAAUAAGGAUCGGCUAACUCCGUG